Molecule: ribosomal RNA, 284 nt
Filed under: uncultured bacterium
Lineage: Bacteria
Description: partial 16S ribosomal RNA
Rfam family: Bacterial small subunit ribosomal RNA
Source: RNAcentral
AAUCAACGCUGGCGGCGUGCCUCAGACAUGCAAGUCGAACGCUGCUGUUCGCCUUCGGGUGGACAGCGGAGUGGCGCACGGGUGAGUAACACGUAGGUAAUCUACCUUUGGGUGGGGAAUAACAGCCGGAAACGGCUGCUAAUACCGCAUAAUGCAGCGGCAUCACAUGAUGACAGUUGUUAAAGCGAGGGAUCGUAAGACCUCGCGCCUGAAGAGGAGCCUGCGGCAGAUUAGGUAGUUGGUGAGGUAAUGGCUCACCAAGCCUGCGAUCUGUAACCGGCCUG